CAGUAGCCGCGGGAAUACAGAGGGUGCAAGCGUUAAUCGGAAUUACUGGGCGUAAAGCGCGCGUAGGUUGUUUGUUAAGUUGGAUGUGAAAUCCCCGGGCUCAACCUGGGAACUGCAUCCAAAACUGGCAAGCUAGAGUAUGGUAGAGGGUGGUGGAAUUUCCUGUGUAGCGGUGAAAUGCGUAGAUAUAGGAAGGAACACCAGUGGCGAAGGCGACCACCUGGACUGAUACUGACACUGAGGUGCGAAAGCGUGGGGAGCAAACAGGAUUAGAUACCCGAGUAGUCCCUGUCUCUUAUAC
RNAcentral lists this ribosomal RNA (301 nucleotides) under uncultured bacterium. RNAcentral describes it as "partial 16S ribosomal RNA". It matches the Rfam family "Bacterial small subunit ribosomal RNA", at positions 509 to 807 of the family's 1533-position model. The record is from RNAcentral.